Pelobates cultripes (western spadefoot toad) is the source of this 240-nucleotide non-coding RNA. Lineage: Eukaryota; Metazoa; Chordata; Amphibia; Anura; Pelobatidae. The record is from the annotation of a GenBank genome assembly.
GGAUAUUCUACACUUACAGCUUACUACCGAAAGACCUCCGUUCGACUCUCUGCAGCGGGAACCAGGACAUCCAAGCGAUCAACCCUCCUGCUAGACCGGGGGCAAUCGUAACAAUUGGUGGCAGCAGCGGGAUCAUCCUGGAAUUCCUGAAGAGAGAUAUCUAGGACGGAUGGAGAGUAACUACGACAAGCUGAAGCGUACCACGUUAAAGAAUUUACUCGAGAGCCGUGAAGGGAACGC